This 465-nucleotide ribosomal RNA is filed under the name uncultured bacterium. RNAcentral describes it as "partial 16S ribosomal RNA". It matches the Rfam family "Bacterial small subunit ribosomal RNA", at positions 28 to 507 of the family's 1533-position model. The record is from RNAcentral.
GACGAACGCUGGCGGCGUGCUUAACACAUGCAAGUCGAACGGAAAGGCCCCCUUGUGGGGUACUCGAGUGGCGAACGGGUGAGUAACACGUGAGUAACCUACCCUUGACUUUGGGAUAACUUCAGGAAACUGGGGCUAAUACCGGAUAGGAGCUCCUGCUGCAUGGUGGGGGUUGGAAUGUUUCGGCGGUUGGGGAUGGACUCGCGGCUUAUCAGCUUGUUGGUGGGGUAGUGGCUCACCAAGGCUUUGACGGGUAGCCGGCCUGAGAGGGUGACCGGCCACAUUGGGACUGAGAUACGGCCCAGACUCCUAAGGGAGGCAGCAGUGGGGAAUAUUGCACAAUGGGCGGAAGCCUGAUGCAGCAACGCCGAGUGCGGGAUGACGGACUUCGGGUUGUAAACCGCUAUAGCCUGUGACGAAGCGUGAGUGACGGUAAUGGGUAAAGAAGCACCGGCUAACUACGUG